CUGGCUCUGAACGAACGCUGGCGGCAGGCUUAACACAUGCAAGUCGAGCGCCCCUUCGGGGGAGCGGCAGACGGGUGAGUAAUGCAUGGGAAUCUACCCAGCUCUACGGAAUAACUCAGGGAAACUUGAACUAAUACCGUAUGCGCCCUUCGGGGGAAAGAUUUAUCGGAGUUGGAUGAGCCCAUGUCUGAUUAGCUAGUUGGUGGGGUAAAGGCCUACCAAGGCGACGAUCAGUAGCUGGUCUGAGAGGAUGAUCAGCCACACUGGGACUGAGACACGGCCCAGACUCCUACGGGAGGCAGCAGUGGGGAAUAUUGGACAAUGGGGGCAACCCUGAUCCAGCCAUGCCGCGUGAGUGAUGAAGGCCCUAGGGUUGUAAAGCUCUUUCACCGGUGAAGAUAAUGACGGUAACCGGAGAAGAAGCCCCGGCUAACUUCGUGCCAGCAGCCGCGGUAAUACGAAGGGGGCGAGCGUUGUUCGGAAUUACUGGGCGUAAAGCGCGCGUAGGCGGAUCGGUCAGUUAGGGGUGAAAUCCCGGGGCUCAACCCCGGAACUGCCUCUAAUACUGCCGAUCUAGAGUUCGAGAGAGGUGAGUGGAAUUCCGAGUGUAGAGGUGAAAUUCGUAGAUAUUCGGAGGAACACCAGUGGCGAAGGCGGCUCACUGGCUCGAUACUGACG
Molecule: ribosomal RNA, 678 nt
Filed under: Phyllobacteriaceae bacterium Pbc-abBscn4a
Lineage: Bacteria; Pseudomonadati; Pseudomonadota; Alphaproteobacteria; Hyphomicrobiales; Phyllobacteriaceae
Description: bacterial SSU rRNA
Rfam family: Bacterial small subunit ribosomal RNA
Source: RNAcentral